AGCGAACGCUGGCGGCAGGCCUAACACAUGCAAGUCGAACGGAUCCUUCGGGAUUAGUGGCGGACGGGUGAGUAACACGUGGGAACGUGCCCUUUGGUUCGGAACAACUCAGGGAAACUUGAGCUAAUACAGGAUGUGCCCUUCGGGGGAAAGAUUUAUCGCCAUUGGAGCGGCCCGCGUCUGAUUAGGUAGUUGGUGAGGUAAAGGCUCACCAAGGCGACGAUCAGUAGCUGGUCGGAGAGGAUGAUCAGCCACAUUGGGACUGAGACACGGCCAAAACUCCUACGGGAGGCAGCAGUGGGGAAUCUUGCGCAAGGGGCGAAAGCCUGACGCAGCCAUGCCGCGUGAAUGAUGAAGGCCUUAGGAUUGUAAAAUUCUUUCACCGGGGACGAUAAUGACGGUACCCGGAGAAGAAGCCCCGGCUAACUUCGUGCCAGCAGCCGCCGUAA
Molecule: ribosomal RNA, 449 nt
Filed under: uncultured bacterium
Lineage: Bacteria
Description: partial 16S ribosomal RNA
Rfam family: Bacterial small subunit ribosomal RNA
Source: RNAcentral